AGCUCACCAGCCCGAGCAGUGGGCGCGCGGGCGCGGUGUCUCCAGGCGGUCGCGGGCUGUCGCUUCCGACUUCUGUUUCCCACUUUCAGGGAUCACAAACUCGGGGUAACAGUGGCCCGGCGGGCACAUCCAGCUGUUGGCGUAUGUGAGCGCCAGAGAUGCCGACGAGAAGAGGGCAGCUCCGGGUUUAAUGCGGGCUGGAGACCCUUGGAGUUCCUUUGGCGUCUCGAAUCCAGCGCAGCCGUGGUCCGACGGAGAUCCCUGGGAUUCGACCUGCCAGGGAUGGUGCGGCCGGACCCUGCCCUAGAUCAGAAAGUCCCGUGCGUAGCCAGCCUUUUCGGGCAGGGUCUCUGAGGCAGAGGUCUCGCGCCCCCGGCGGGGCGGAGCUCCUAGAAGCGCAGGCCCUACGCGUCCAGCCCGGCUUUUGGGGCCGCCUCUAGGGCCACACUGAUGGUUGGGCCCAGUUUGUGUGUUUCAGAUGAAAAAUUCACAAGGGACAUGAGAUUCAUAUCUCAUGGGGAUCAAACCUCAUGUCAGUGGCACAGGAGGAAUUAGAAGCCGUGUUUCCUUCGAGACCUGAAGAUCCAGUUCUAGGUUUUCCUGCUGCUCCCAAGCUUUGGGCAAAGUAACUACACUUCUCUGAGCCUCAUAAUGGUGAUAAUACUCUUCCCACUUACCUCAUUAAGUUAAUGUAAAGGUCAAAGUCAUACAUGUUUUCUCAGUCAUUUAUUAACUGCUUGAACUAAAAACUGGACCCUAAUGUGUUGCAGAACAACUUGGGCAUUUUGGAAGCACCGUGUAAAAGUAUUAUUAGAAAAGCUUCUCUCAGCCUCCUGAAGUAACCUGCCUCCCAAGCUGCCUUAUUCCUAGGAGAAUCUUCAUCUUCCCUUUAUCAUAGCCCAGGGAUCCUGAAGUGGGAUGGAAGAAGGGUAUCUGACCUGGACUGGUGGUCUUGAGACCUUCUGGAAAACUGGAAAGAAGACUUUUUUUUUUAACUCCAUGGAGACAAAUGGAUUAAUCAGUUCACAGAUUAUCAUUAUGUUUGGUUGAGAGAGGAAGUCUGGUGACAAAAUUGAACGAGACAAAGACAGUAAGUCAGGAGAGAUUCUGAGUGUCGGGGCCAAGUUCUUGCUUUAAAUGCAGAGCGCCUGAAGAAAGUCUGGAACCUCACAGGUGGCUGAUGGUUUUUCCAGGCCCGCUGCUGACAGAUGCUGCUUUACUACCUGGAGAUGAGCCUUUCAAGGCCGUGUGUAUUCAAAGAGAGAGGAAAAAGGAAAUAGCUUCAGGUGUUCCUGUUCGAGCUGAGUUGCUGAACAGCAGAAGAGGGUGGCACUUGGAGGUUGGAUGCGGCACACAUGAAAGGACUUGAGAUGAAGAACCAGGAAAGAAAUAUACCAUGUUAUGCCCUUAACCGUAAAAGAAGAGAGGCCAGGUCAUCUGGUAAACGUUGGCCUGUAACACAGUUCAUGGAAGGCUGCUUGGUGCCCAUUCAUCCCCAAGACACCCACACGUGAGAAUUCACCAGUACAAAGAUGUUUAAGACUUAUUUCAGAAGGAAUCCAGAUGAUGAGUCCAUUUGCAGUUUAGAAAAACUGAAUUAUAGCAUUACGGUGGAGAUGAUCUCUACUAAAGCCUGGCACGCUGGAGGAAGAGCAAUGAGACCAGGGUUUCUACAGCAGAGCAGGACAAGGAAGGUGAGAUGCUGAGGGAUAAUGCAAUAAUAAUCGCCUUGAGUCAGUAAGCUAUGGCUGUAUAAUAAACGAUUCAAAAAUGCAAUGGCUUGAAACAAUAGCUUUGGUUCUUAAGGACCCGCGGGUCAUCUAGGGGUUUGCUGACCCAAGCUGGGCUGGGCCCCGUUCAAGCUGCAGGGUCUGACUGUGAUGGGCAUCUCCCUCAGGUCUGCUCCAUGAUGCUGUUUUGCACCUCAGGUAAGAGUGUAUCAAUGAGCCUGAGGAAACUCUUCUUGAUGUGGCAGCAAAGGCCAGAAAGAAAGCCCACUGACAGGUGCAUUUCAAGCUCGUGCUUCCUUUCUUGGAGGGCACACAAUGGAGCUCAAAGUCAAGGGGCAGGGAAGUAGACUUUGCCCAUCAGAACACCAUGGCGAAAGUGUGUACACAGAGAGAAGUGAUGACAAGGCCAAUGAUUUCAUCUACUGUAUCAGUUGGCUUGGGCUACGAAAGGAACAGAGAAGAGGCGGGGAGUGGUCAAGUUGUGCAUAAAUUGUGCACAUAAAGCUCACAGGAUUUGUAAGUAUAUCAGACAUGAGGUCAGAGAGACAAGGAGACCUUGAGGAUGACAUUCCUUAUCCACGUGCCCAGAAAUGUCUUUUUCUAGAAUUUUACUUUAGAUUGAUAUUUAGCUCACUUGCUCUAUUUCUAGUAUUUUGGUACUUCUCUUGACUUCCCCAAUCUCCUUAAAGACAUCUCAGUUUCAUACUGUUUUAUUACUAGGAGACAUAACCGAUCUGAAUCAGGUGAGGCGAUGUGUGUAUAUAUUCAGCAGCGCCGGCAUUCUCCUGCUGCUGCCCCCUCCACAAUAAGGCUGCAGUUUCUCCCCAGCAGUGUCCAAACUACCCCUUCAGUCCACCAAUGACUCCUCUCAAAAUGCAAAGAAGACUAAGUAUAGAAGCCUUUGUUUCUCCCUGAUUAGUCAUCAGCAUUAAAACAUCGGGUCUAAUGGUGCGUCUGUCCAUUCCUUCUUCCAUGUUUUUUUUCUCCAAACAAACAUUUCCAAGGUCAAACUGUAUUCUGAGUACAGUCUUUAAGACAGUAGCGAAUGUUCAGAGGAUUUUCAUCAUACUUGGUUAACACUUUUAAAAGUUUCGGCACUUAAGGUCAUAGGCUUUAGUUGUUUGGAAUGUUUAUCUAUGAUGAAUAGUCCAUUCCCCAGCGCUGGUAACUAAAUGAGGCGUCGCUCCACUGCGCUUUUGUUGAUGUAUGCAUCGACACGGGGAGUGUGCUCCAUUUAGCAAUGCAAAGAGGGUGCACAUUCAGUUUGUUCUGUUGCUAUGUGUACUGUUUAGUCCCAGGAUACCUUGAACUGGAAAGAAGCCCUGUUGAGUGACAGGGUUACAUAAUUCUACCUUCUUGGUAAACUGUCUUGGGCCUCAGCGCCCCCAGCUCAGAUAUCUGUCUAUCAGGAGACAUGUGGGUCUUGAAUUGUUCAUUCUGGUUUGACCCUAAGCCAAAAACUUUUGCAGAAGCCUGAGUCCUGGGCCUCCUUCCCAAGCAACCACCAGUGUCAUAGAAGUAACCAGUGCCUGCCUGUUACUGCAGCUCCUGUUGACAGGAAAUGCUUUUUCAAAAGAAAGGCAAUGAAAAACGGUUCCCUUGCAGGUGGAGUUUUCUGGCUCAUGUAAGGAUUAGAAAUGAAAUUAGCCAUUGGAAAUUUCAUUCAGAUCAGUCCAAACAUUGCAAAGUACAACAAACGCAGACCUUUCCUCAUUGGGUAAUCAAGUUCAAUUUCUCUCCAUGUCUUUUCUCCCAAGCAGACAGCUGUGAAACCCUUAUUAACUGUUUUUCAUGGACCCAGUUGCUGCUAAAGUCUACAGAGAUAGAACAUUCCAGAAUGAGCUCUGAGCCCUGACCUUGAAGGGCUUGGUGAUCUAGUCUGGAAUACCAGAGUCACCCAAAGAAACUG
This is a long non-coding RNA of Aethalodelphis obliquidens (Pacific white-sided dolphin), 3639 nucleotides long. RefSeq lists it as uncharacterized. NCBI's taxonomy places the organism in Eukaryota, Metazoa, Chordata, Mammalia, Artiodactyla, Delphinidae. The record is from RefSeq and is a predicted model, not a curated record. The transcript has 6 exons.